Long non-coding RNA from Callithrix jacchus (white-tufted-ear marmoset), 1129 nucleotides. RefSeq lists it as uncharacterized. The record is from RefSeq and is a predicted model, not a curated record. NCBI's taxonomy places the organism in Eukaryota, Metazoa, Chordata, Mammalia, Primates, Cebidae.
UACGCUUUGUUGGGUAAGAAUCUGACCUAAAAAAAUUGGCUUCACUUCACAGUUUAAAAUAGACUUUUUCCUUAGACAGAUCAAAGAUACCUAGCAUUCAGCUAUGUUCAAAGGCUGCCAGGGAACUUCUGGCUUGCCAACAGCAAGGACACGGGGACAGGCACUUGUUGCUGUGUGAGCGAGGCCUGUGAAUGAUUAAAGAGGACGGACGAGCUUGUCCACAGGGAAGCUCAGCGUAGGUGAGUGGAGCAGAUGAAGCGAAAUCUACCCAGAGCACUGGGCUGCAUGUGAGACCUUGGCUUACUUUUGUACUUCCUACAGCUAGUCUGGAAAACCUUUCAGUCCAAAGUAAUCAUGAGAAGACACAAAAAUCAAAAACAUGUGAGAGAAGAAAAGACUAAUGAAAGCAGAGGUUCAUUUGGCUGUUUCUGAGACAACCAGAAGAGCAGCAAGCACUCCGGCAACUUCCACGCAGUCCAUUUUUAUUAUUCUUCCACUAACAGGCAAGAAGCCAGAGCUCCUGUAAAUAUAUGCAUAAUUCAUUUGUAAGCAGUCAGACCUCUACUUUUAUGGCUCAGCUGGCAGACAGAGGAGAAACAACUGGACAUUAGAGACUACAGUUGGAUGUUGGAAAGCAGCAGCUUGACUUCAGAGGGAGAGCUUGAUGGCUUAAUUUCAGAGAAGAAUCUGAUUGGAGACCAGCCAGACUUCAGGGGAAGACCUUUCUACUCUAUCCCCUUUUUAGCUUCCCUUUCUACUGAGAGCCACUUUCAUUGGCAAUAAAAUCUCCUGCAAUAAAAUACCAUCUUAAAUUCGUUUGUGCAACCUCAUUCCUCUUGGACGCUGGACAACACCUCGGGUGCCCUGAGUGCAGGUAUAAAAGGCUGUCACACUGCCCCCUUCACUGAGCUGUUAACACUUAAGCUGUCCACAGACGGCAGAGCUGAAAGAAUAGUGUAACAUUUCCUCUGGGGCUUCAGGGAUCACAGGGACCCCCCAAGAUGCUGCCAUGGGGCCGAUAUGGGGUUUGCUCCUGCUGGUGCCCAAAAGUGCUCACCCUGGCUCCUGUACCAGCUCACCUGCACUCCCUAUCCCAUGACAGGUGGAGCAGUGAAUAAGUGGAGUUUGC